This 17-nucleotide non-coding RNA is filed under the name Sclerotinia trifoliorum. The record is from RNAcentral. Lineage: Eukaryota; Fungi; Ascomycota; Leotiomycetes; Helotiales; Sclerotiniaceae.
UCGUAGCCUAGAUUUGA